Mustela erminea (ermine) is the source of this 950-nucleotide long non-coding RNA. RefSeq lists it as uncharacterized. NCBI's taxonomy places the organism in Eukaryota, Metazoa, Chordata, Mammalia, Carnivora, Mustelidae. The record is from RefSeq and is a predicted model, not a curated record. The transcript is spliced from 5 exons.
AUUAUAUACAGUCGUUCCACAGUUACACUGUAUGACAAGUAUCUCUGACUGGCAGAGAUUCUGACACCGUCCCUUGUGCUUCGGUUUCUUCUUCCAUCAGCAGCACAGUACCGAACACACAGAGCUCCCGAAGUGGUCGUCACCAACUAGAUUGUUCUUCAGAAAUGACAUUCUACGGAGGCAGGCUUGUCUGCUCAUUCACGGACGUCAGUACACACCUGUGAGGCCUCGGAAGAGACCGGAACAAAGAGCGUACUCGAUACAGACCAGCUGAAUGAAUGGAUUCCUCAUCUGUACUCCACACAAAGGUAAAAACAGUCUUAGGAAAAACCACAGUUCUCUCUUGACCAUUUGGGCUGAACGGGAUGAACUGAUGCCUUGUUCUGAACCGUCUGCCUCACCUCCUGCCCUGGGAUUUGUCUUUGAAAGACAAUCCACAAGACAAACUGUGCCCUUCAUCCAUUUUCAAAGGCCUCAUUUGCCUGUCAGCUGCCCUACUUCCUUACUCGAUGGGAGGAUCGAAAGUGGGAGUAACUGAAAACUAAAAUUCUCCACCUUCAGAAACACGGGUUGUAGCAGUAAUAACGUGUUAAUAAAUACAGCAGCAUUCUGAAACCACAACAAAAGGGAACACUCCCGCCCCCAGAACCAGCAGGCCAAGUUCAGCCUGAGGCGGCCUAACCGGAUACUCACACAGCAAUGUCUUUGCCACAAUAAAGACAAGUUAAGCCUCCAUCACAAACACGUCUAAAAUACAUUGUGAUACAUCUGAUGCUUGAGAACCCAAACCAGAACAAGCUACUUUCUGACCUUCAGAUGGCUACUGACCAACGACGGACGAGAGCCUCGUACAGUAUGAGCACCCUAGGAGAAGCAAUUCUGUCGCCAGUAUGUGAGGACGACUCAAAAAAACAAAACAACAAUAAGAAACCUAGCGCUUUGUAACUUGU